This 456-nucleotide ribosomal RNA is filed under the name uncultured bacterium. RNAcentral describes it as "bacterial SSU rRNA". It matches the Rfam family "Bacterial small subunit ribosomal RNA", at positions 340 to 786 of the family's 1533-position model. The record is from RNAcentral.
UACGGAAGGCAGCAGUGGGGAAUAUUGCACAAUGGGCGAAAGCCUGAUGCAGCUAUGCCGCGUGUAUGAAGAAGGCCUUAGGGUUGUAAAGUACUUUCAUCGGGGAGGAAAAAACAAAACUAAUAAUUUUAUUUCUUGACGUUACCCGAAAAAGAAGUACCGGCUAACUCCGUGCCAGCAGCCGCGGUAAUACGGAGGGUGCUAGCGUUAAUCAGAAUUACUGGGCGUAAAGAGCACGUAGGUGGUUUUUUUAAGUCAGAUGUGAAAUCCCUGGGCUUAACCUGGAACUGCAUUUUGAAACUGAAAUACUAGAGUAUCGUAGAGGGAGGUAGAAUUCUAGGUGUAGCGGUGAAAUGCGUAGAUAUCUGGAGGAAUACCUGUGGCGAAAGCGGCCUCCUAAACGAAUACUGACACUGAGGGUGCGAAAGCGUGGGGAGCAAACAGGGAUUAGAUACC